RNAcentral lists this ribosomal RNA (253 nucleotides) under uncultured bacterium. Its description in RNAcentral is "partial 16S ribosomal RNA". It matches the Rfam family "Bacterial small subunit ribosomal RNA", at positions 524 to 776 of the family's 1533-position model. The record is from RNAcentral.
UACAGAGGUCUCAAGCGUUGUUCGGAUUCAUUGGGCGUAAAGCGCGCGUAGGCGGCUCGGAAAGUCGGGCGUGAAAUGCCGGGGCUCAACCCCGGGACUGCGUCCGAUACUUCCGAGCUGGAGGUAGGUAGGGGAGAUCGGAAUUCCUGGUGUAGCGGUGAAAUGCGCAGAGAUCAUGAGGAAGACCAGUGGCGAAGGCGGGUCUCUGGACAGUUCCUGACACUGAGACACGAAGGCCAGGGGAGCAAACGGG